Molecule: long non-coding RNA, 886 nt
Organism: Oncorhynchus tshawytscha (Chinook salmon)
Lineage: Eukaryota; Metazoa; Chordata; Actinopteri; Salmoniformes; Salmonidae
Source: Ensembl
GGGAUACUAUCUCUCUGUAGAGGGUUAGGAUACUAUCUCUCUGUAGAGGGUUAGGAUACUAUCUCUCUCUGUAGAGGGUUAGGAUACUAUCUCUCUCUGUAGAGGGUUAGGAUACUAUCUCUCUGUAGAGGGUUAGGAUACCAUCUCUCUGUAGGGGGGUUAGGAUACUAUCUCUCUGUAGAGGGUUAGGAUACUAUCUCUCUGUAGAGGGUUAGGAUACUCACUGAGGGAGAAGUGGACAGAGAGGUCCCCCGAUACCGUGCCAGAACACCAAACAUCAACAACCAUAAUGAUAAGGAUAAAGCCUAAAUUAAAGCCAGGGUUCAAGCUGGACACAUUGCCUUUGGAUGAGCUGUGAAGCAGAUUACGCUUUCUGUUUCUGAUAUUUUGACUUUGCAGAUGUUCUAUGUUAAUGUCAGCCAGUUUCAAAGUUUUUUUUUGCACGGUAAUGAUUGGCAUUGUAAAUAAUAAUGUCUUGUGGGUACUAAGUUAUUGGGCAUUCUGAAGAGGUAAUAUCAGCUGUUGGGAGUAUUUUUAAACCUGAAAUUCAGAGUAAAUGUGCAUGUUUCUGCUGUCUGUGGGAAGUCCUUCAACAUCAGCAGUUUGGAAGAUAAUGCAUCUGUAUGAACACAUUUGGUAUGUAGUGCUGUUAUUUGUUAAGUAGAGUUCUGUAAGGGGGUGAUGUGGGAUUUCACUGAAAGGUGUAACAUUUUUUACCUGCAUGAAAAAUAUCUGCUUUUAAUUUUUUUUAAAGUGAUGUUGCAAUUAAUGUUCAUUUUUUGAAAAUAUUAAUUUCUUUCUCUCUGCAUUGUUGGGAAGAGCCAUAAGCAUUUCUCUGUUAAGCAUGUGACAAAAUUAUAUUUUAUUUGAAGAGUGUUUGUCAUAG